GUCCUUGCUAUAAUCAUCGUCAUCGUAUAUAUUGUUGUGUCUCUGAGCUCGUUGCUGCUAUUGUAUUUCACAAUAAAAGUAGUCGCGGCAAAUAUUACAGUGACUGUGUCGGUCUGCGUAGCCAGACACCAUUUAUUUCUACAAAAUUCUAUACCUGUAUCUGUGGAAUAAGGAAUUCGAUCGACUUGUAAUCGCGCGCGUCGUCCGUUGUGAAUAAAUAUUUAAUGCGCCGGUGAACGAGCUGUGUCUUUGUCAGCAGACUACGAGACACAACAAACCUUCACUGUUUGAUCAUCGAGACGUCCCGCGUCGUUGGCGUAUUGCGAAAACUCGGCACGAGACUGCUGAUUAGGUUUCUCGUAACGUUUGCUAGUUACAUAAUUGUUAUUAUAACAACAAUGAUCCACACAACGAACUAAUUUUGUACCACCAUGCGAUAGCUCUAUAUUCGCAGAAGCAAAUACGUAAUAUCUAGAAUGUAAUACAUAAUGAUUAAUCGUAUUUAUUCGUUGGGAUAUCGAUUACGUUGCAAGGGUACGAUAAAGGCAUGACGAACCAUACACGUAGAUCCGUUCAGUUGUCACUGAUUGUCAAUAGAGGCUGACUGUUAUUUGCGAAUCAGUUAACAAUGCAGCUGCUUGAAGAUCGUGCGUGGGUCGUGGAAUCGAUAUCAGUUCCAAGAAUUUAUUCAAACGUUUCCGACUCGUAUGGGCGUGCUUGCUACGUUGUGGAAAAACGUGUCUUUCUCGGAAUUGUGAUCAUCGAAAUGUUCUAUGAUCCUGAAAAGGUAACGGAUGUUACCCUAUGGCACGACUGCUUCUAUUCGUGAGUGUGCGACACGUCGUGGGAUCGUUGGUGGUACGAUGAGCCUGGGAGUGAGUUUGUCACAUAGUGAUCCACUGUUUAAGGAUUUAUUUAUUGUAAAUACGUAUUUGCUUUUCUUAUUAAUGAGAACAGUGGUGGGUUAAUGAUUGUCGAAGUUUAUUAUUGCAACUUAGGGUUUUCCACGAAGCAGACGGCUCGAUGAAUUUUAUUUGGCUUGUCACUUUGCGUAGUUACAGAAAAUUCCGCCAGGGGCUCGAUUCGUGGACUUGUCUGUUGCGCGGGAAUUUGAGAUUUAUUGUAAAAGAAAAAUAACUGAGUAACUUUAAAAAGACGAAAAGUAAUAUAUAAUUUAAUUUGUAUCGCAAGAAAAUUUGUUUGGUUUGUAAUAGUGCACAUGCGUACAU
Cephus cinctus (wheat stem sawfly) is the source of this 1229-nucleotide RNA transcript. RefSeq lists it as uncharacterized. Lineage: Eukaryota; Metazoa; Arthropoda; Insecta; Hymenoptera; Cephidae. The record is from RefSeq and is a predicted model, not a curated record. The transcript is spliced from 4 exons.